UACGUAGGGGGCUAGCGUUGUCCGGAAUCAUUGGGCGUAAAGCGCGUGUAGGCGGCCAGACAGGUCCGCUGUGAAAACUCGAGGCUCAACCUCGAGAUGUCGGUGGAAACCGUCUGGCUAGAGUCCGGAAGAGGAGAGUGGAAUUCCCGGUGUAGCGGUGAAAUGCGCAGAUAUCGGGAAGAACACCCGUGGCGAAGGCGGCUCUCUGGGACGGUACUGACGCUGAGACGCGAAAGCGUGGGGAGCGAACAGG
RNAcentral lists this ribosomal RNA (253 nucleotides) under uncultured bacterium. RNAcentral describes it as "partial 16S ribosomal RNA". It matches the Rfam family "Bacterial small subunit ribosomal RNA", at positions 524 to 776 of the family's 1533-position model. The record is from RNAcentral.